CCUACGGGAGGCAGCAGUGGGGAAUAUUGCACAAUGGGGGAAACCCUGAUGCAGCGACGCCGCGUGAGUGAAGAAGUAUUUCGGUACGUAAAGCUCUAUCAGCAGGGAAGAAAAUGACGGUACCUGACUAAGAAGCCCAGGCUAACUACGUGCCAGCAGCCGCGGUAAUACGUAGGGGGCCAGCGUUAUCCGGAUUUACUGGGUGUAAAGGGAGCGUAGACGGCAGCGCAAGUCUGGAGUGAAAUCCCAUGGCUUAACCAUGGAACUGCCUUGGAAACUGGGCAGCUAGAGUGCAGGAGAGGUAAGCGGAAUUCCUAGUGUAGCGGUGAAAUGCGUAGAUAUUAGGAGGAACACCAGUGACGAAGGCGGCUUACUGGACUGUAACUGACGUUGAGGCUCGAAAGCGUGGGGAGCAAACAGGAUUAGAUACCCCAGUAGUC
Molecule: ribosomal RNA, 440 nt
Filed under: uncultured bacterium
Lineage: Bacteria
Description: partial 16S ribosomal RNA
Rfam family: Bacterial small subunit ribosomal RNA
Source: RNAcentral